Molecule: ribosomal RNA, 319 nt
Filed under: uncultured eukaryote
Lineage: Eukaryota
Description: partial 18S ribosomal RNA
Rfam family: Eukaryotic small subunit ribosomal RNA
Source: RNAcentral
CCCUUAGAUGGUCUGGGCGGCACGCGCGCUACAAUGAUGCAUUCAAAAAGUCUUCUGACCUUAGAAGGUUGGGUAUUCUCCAAAGUGCAUCGUGAUGGGAAUAGUUUAUUGCAAUUUUUAAUCUUGAACGAGGAAUUCCUAGUAAGUACAGGUCAUCAACUUGGGUUGAUUACGUCCCUGCCCUUUGUACACACCGCCCGUCGCUCCUACUGAUUGAGUGUCUCGGUGAAUUCUUUGAUCUUCUGUCGAUUCAGUUCACUGAUCCGACGGUGGAAAGUUGAAUGAACUUCGUCACUUAGAGGAAGGAGAAGUCGUAACA